GGCAACCCUAGUAGGGCGUCUCAUCGUGGGACAACCGGGCGGGGGGCUUACACAUAGCGGGUCCAAAGACAAAAACCUAAGGGCCUGCACGCUAAACGGAAGACAGAAA
Non-coding RNA from Leisingera aquimarina DSM 24565, 109 nucleotides. The record is from Rfam. NCBI's taxonomy places the organism in Bacteria, Pseudomonadati, Pseudomonadota, Alphaproteobacteria, Rhodobacterales, Roseobacteraceae.